GCCUGGCUAGCUCAAUCGGUAGAGCGUGAGACUCUUAUUCCAAGAAAUCUCAAGGCUGUGGGUUCAAGCCCCACGUCGGGCU
This is a transfer RNA of Yarrowia lipolytica, 82 nucleotides long. It matches the Rfam family "tRNA". Rfam says of the family: Transfer RNA (tRNA) molecules are approximately 80 nucleotides in length. Lineage: Eukaryota; Fungi; Ascomycota; Dipodascomycetes; Dipodascales. The record is from Rfam.